UACGGAGGGUGCAAGCGUUAUCCGGAUUUACUGGGUUUAAAGGGUGCGUAGGUGGGCUGGUAAGUCAGUGGUGAAAUACUUUCGCUUAACGAAGGAACUGCCAUUGAUACUACCAGUCUUGAAUACAGUAGAGGUAGGCGGAAUGCGUCAUGUAGCGGUGAAAUGCUUAGAUAUGACGCAGAACACCAAUUGCGAAGGCAGCUUGCUACACAGUUAUUGACACUGAGGCACGAAAGCGUGGGGAUCAAACAGG
This 253-nucleotide ribosomal RNA is filed under the name uncultured bacterium. Its description in RNAcentral is "partial 16S ribosomal RNA". It matches the Rfam family "Bacterial small subunit ribosomal RNA", at positions 524 to 776 of the family's 1533-position model. The record is from RNAcentral.